CACAUCACAGCCAGGUACAUGCUUCAAACCCUGUUCCUGUGGAUCUUACUGUUCUUCACAGGAGCAGAGCUACAGAGAAAGAAAGUCAUCCAUCUUCCACAUGGCCAGCUUGCUCAGCAGAAUCUGUAUGCAUAACAGUGUAAAAUCAGAGCUCAACUGUAUUCAGUAAAUUACUUGAGUCAAAAUUCUUCACUAAGUCAUUACCAGAUAUUUCUAGCUCUUUAACUAUUUCUAGCCUAAAUAAUAAAGGCUUGAUUCUAUAUUCCUUACUCACAUUGUGUAGAAUUUGUGAAUGGUCCCCUCGAACUAAUAAGGUUUUUUUUGUACGAGUAUAUAUUACUCGUAGUAAGGAUAGCACGAUAUGGCCCAAAGUAACUAUGUAAAGAAAGAAGUGCAUAGUUGUUAAGAAAUGUGUAAAUAUUCCUGUAUUUGCUAUUUAGAAUAUUUUAGAAGAGAAAAGAAGAAAAAUAUUAUUGUACAGUAUGGUACUUGUAGAUAAUCUGUGUUUCCAUGCAUUUCUUUAUCAGUACAUAUCUACUGAUCUAAAUCAAUCUAAAUCAGUACAUGAUCUAAAUCAAUCAUGAUAGUUGUAAGUGGCACUAUGCAGGAUGUCUGUCAGUCUGAGUUCGCAACUCCUAUUUAUUUCAAUGAGAUUUUCAUAUGCAGGCCAUUUUUAUAAAAAGAGACUUAUGUUGAGGACCUGAACAGAAGACAAGUUAAUACCUCCUGUAAAGAACAGUGGAAAUAUAUAGCUAUUACUGCUUCUAUAAAAUGUGUAGGACAGUCUUAGACAAAAAAAAUUAGCAUCACAAAAGAAGAAUGCUAUCGGGCUGCAAAUAUUUAUUUUGUGAGAUUUGGGGAGCUCAACAUACACCUUGGCUUUCUUUAUGGCAUUGCAUAGUGUUAUAUGUCACACCAUGAUAUUUGUGAAUGAGUAAAUAAAAUGUUUCACUGACUGUGAGAAACUUGUUCAAAGUUUCUGUGGAUCCUAAACCUCGGAGAGUGUGUAUGUUUGUUAAAGUAGCACUAGCUGACUUCUUGGUGUUCAAAUGCCGUAUGGUCACGGAAUUAAAUUUGAAGUAUUUU
Molecule: long non-coding RNA, 1086 nt
Organism: Dermochelys coriacea (leatherback sea turtle)
Lineage: Eukaryota; Metazoa; Chordata; Testudines; Dermochelyidae
Exons: 3
Source: RefSeq, a predicted model, not a curated record